UACGUAUAUCGCAAGCGUUAUCCGGAUUUAUUGGGCGUAAAGCACGUCUAGGCGGCUUAGUAAGUCUGAUGUGAAAAUGCGGGGCUCAACCCCGUAUUGCGUUGGAAACUGUUAAACUAGAGUACUGGAGAGGUAGGCGGAACUACAAGUGUAGAGGUGAAAUUCGUAGAUAUUUGUAGGAAUGCCGAUGGAGAAGCCAGCCUACUGGACAGAUACUGACGCUAAAGCGCGAAAGCGUGGGUAGCAAACAGG
This 252-nucleotide ribosomal RNA is filed under the name uncultured bacterium. Its description in RNAcentral is "partial 16S ribosomal RNA". It matches the Rfam family "Bacterial small subunit ribosomal RNA", at positions 524 to 776 of the family's 1533-position model. The record is from RNAcentral.